RNAcentral lists this unclassified non-coding RNA (190 nucleotides) under plant metagenome. Its description in RNAcentral is "partial contains 5.8S ribosomal RNA, internal transcribed spacer 2, and large subunit ribosomal RNA". The record is from RNAcentral.
CUUCCAUUAGCCGAAACCCGGAGUUCAAUGAUCCGGAUAUCUUCAACCCAACCGUCAGCAACCCAACGCACGCUCAGUUCACCGCCAGCAUUCUGAACAUGCCCACGGAUUUGAUCGCACCAGACGCCGACAACCGCAUCUGGCUCGGGACAUUCACCUUCCAGGUUGAGGGAGCGGUUGGCUCCUCCAC